UGGAACUGAACUUUAGUGCACUGCCCUAUUCCAUCAUUACCAUGUUUCUCCUGGCCAUUUGGUAAUUUUCAGACUCUUCUUGUGACUCAUGAAAAUGACCUAGGAGACAAGGAUGCCUGGACUCCUGCCCUCUCCUAGGCUCUCAAUGCCAUCUCAUCUUCAUCCAACUCACCCUCUUCGCCUGGCUCUUGUUUUAUUGAGUGCCAUCUGUCCACUUUGCCGUGCCCUCUGGAACCCUCUUUCAUUGUCAAUAUACUCCAUUAUCUACUCCACACCAAGUUUUGCUCUUUUCUGUAUGUUUCCUUAUCUUAGUUAAUGACAACACCAUCUUCCCCCUGCUCUCUAAGUCAUCAUCCCUGAUUACUCCCUCUCAAGUACCCUCCACUUCAAAUUAGUCACCAAUUCCUAUGAAUUCUAGUUCUGAAGUGUCUCACAAAUCUGACACCAUCAUCGGUCCUCUAAGCUGUUAAAAUAACUCCUUGAACACACACCUUUGAAUAUAGUCUGUACUUUAAAAAGUUUUCUGAAUGCAGUGCUUAUUAGUUUUAAUCUUUCCCAAAUGUCUGUGCCAUCAUUCUUGGCUUCACCCCUGCUUGUUUAUAUUCUUCCUGGUUUUAAUCUCAUAUUUGGAUAAAGAUAUUUAAGAUGUUUUUCUAUGCAAUGUUUAUAGUGGGCUGUCUUUUGAAAGACCAAUAGUCAUAGCCUUAAGGAGACCACUGUUGCUGAAAAGCCUUGUUUAUUGUGAGGAGGAGGGGAGAAACUGGGGUGAGAAACGUUGCUACCUGUUGCAGCAGCUACCUGAUCACCCAAGAGAUUUGCAUAAUUUCUUCCUCCCACUAUAUCCCAUUCCAGCAGCCAAUAUCUUAACAAAAGGGAAGCUAUUAUGGAAGAAAAUUUAAUAAAAAUAUUCUCUAGG
This 916-nucleotide long non-coding RNA is filed under the name Homo sapiens (human). Its description in RNAcentral is "HSALNT0369317". Lineage: Eukaryota; Metazoa; Chordata; Mammalia; Primates; Hominidae. The record is from RNAcentral.